Molecule: long non-coding RNA, 2066 nt
Organism: Seriola dumerili (greater amberjack)
Lineage: Eukaryota; Metazoa; Chordata; Actinopteri; Carangiformes; Carangidae
Exons: 3
Source: RefSeq, a predicted model, not a curated record
UCUUGGCUAUGUAGCGAUGCUUAGCAAAAAGCAGAUACAGUUUCUUCCUCCUCCACGCCACAUAUCGGCAGGGGUUAUCAGCACGCAGGGUCACCUGUGGAGAAUAAAACAUUUAACAGAAAGAUGAGGCUGAAAGGAUGCAAGCUGGUUUCACAUGUGUAAGAGAGGCUGGUGAAAGAGUGCAGCCCAAUUUGAGGCGGUCAACGGUUGCCUCCAUUAUACGCAUCUUUCAACAAACCAACAGAGAGUUAUGGAAUUGGAGGCCAACCAGGCCCCUCAUGAAUUCAUACACAUAGAUGAGGCAGGAUUCAAUCUGGCCAAAAGGCGUCGACGUGGACGAAAUGUAAUUGGAAAAAGGGCCACAGUUGAUGUGCCAGGACAGAGAGGGGCAAACAUUACCAUGUGUGCAGCAAUUGCAAAUGCAGGAUUACUCCUUCACAGAUGUCAGGUUGGACCCUACAAUACCGAGCGCCUCCUUGCCUUUCUCAAUGAUCUCCACCAGCGCCUGGUUCCAGAGCAGGAUCAGGAGGGUUAAAACAUGAGGACCUUUGUAAUCACCUGGGACAAUGUGGCUUUCCAUCAUUCGCAAGCAAUAACAACAUGGUUUGAAGUCCACCCAAGACUGGUACGUCUCUUCCUUCCACCCUAUUCACCUUUCCUCAACCCCAUAGAGGAGUUCUUUUCUGCAAGGAGGUGGAAGGUUUAUGACCAUCAGCCACAUGACCAGAUGUCCCUCCUUGAAGCCAUGGCUGCUGGCUGCAGGGACAUCACAGUUGAUGAUUGCCAAGGGUGGAUCCGACAUACCAAGUGGCUUUAUCCCAGGUGCAUCGCCUUGGAUAAUAUCAGAUGCGAUGUUGAUGAAAACAUGUGGCCUAACCCUGAAGAUCGCAGAGAUUAGAUACAGUAAUUUUGUGCUUUUUUUUACUUCCCCCCCUUUUUAUCUGGGCUUUUUACUGUUGUUUUUUUGUUCAGAAUGCUCUUGUGUGUUUCAUGGAUAUUUUGUUCACUGUAAGCAAUACUGUAAAACUUUUUCUGUUCUAUCAUACUGUAAACAGUAUCUCUACUGUACCUCCAGUAAAGGAGUAAACAGUAAAGGAAAAAAAAACUGAUUUGCUUUUUACUGGAAUGCUUUUGAAUGUGAACAUGUGGACAUACAGUUCCCAACCAAGAAAUUUAGUGUAAAAACGGUGGAUUGCAUGUUUUGCAUGCAAAUACCUGUAAAACUGAAACAUAAAAGUCUAUGCAGUUUUUGUAAUGUCAACAAUAGCCAGUAUUUUGAAACCUGGUGUACUUUGAUUGACUGCAUGUACCUUGUGAAGUGAAAACAAGUGUUAUUCUUUGACAUAAUAAUUCAUUUAGAGUCAGAUUUCCAGUGUUUUGGUAAAGUUAGUGUGUGCAGAGAAAGAUGUGUUCUAUUUUGAAAUGAAAAGUUAGUAUAUGUUUAACAAAAUGUGUUUUUGAGAAGAAAAUUAUCCAUUUGGCCAAUUGUGUUUUGUAGGUGUGAGUCUGUGUUAAGAGUUUAGAAAAAGUAUCUGAAGUCUUGGUAAGCGCUUGUUAGCGAUUGAAAAAAACUGUAUUCAAUUGUUUGUUUAUUAUCAGCUGAGAUAUAUUGUUUUUGAACUGAUAUCAUCGCAGAAGCAGAGGUUUUUAUACUGUAUCUAAGGUUUGGAAUAUUGUUUUUGCUAUUGUGGGAUGUUGUGUGUUAACAUUCGUAAAUAAUAGAAAAACAAUCCAUAAUUUUGUUGGGAGGUAUAGCUUGUCUGUUAAGAAAAUGUAAGCAUUGUGGAAAUGUGUUCACUGACUGCAUAUUGUGUGAAAACGACAUGAAAUGUGUGAAUGGUAUGGCCACAAAAGGCCGAUGCUGUGCUAAUUGUGUUUAGAGUUUUGAAAAUGUGACAACUGGUUGGACAAACGCUUGUUAGCGACUGAAAAAAACUGUAAUACCAUGAAUGGAUAUAAAUCAAUGUUAUAAUGUGUCACUGAUCAGAUGUCUCUGAAUAUUGAAUGUCAGAUACACUUAAUAACUCAUGAAAAACCUUUAGUUGUUAUGGCUGUAAUUAUAAGUA